AGGGCAAUGAGAGAGUACGACUUAUUGUUUUUUUUUUUCAGCAAACAAAGAUUUACUUGUAUAUUUCUUCUAAGUGGAAAUGGAGAUUUUUUUUUUUUAACGGAUUAGUCUGCUAUAUGGUAUGAGUUGUUGUCAUAUAGAUAUGGUAGACUUAACGUUUGUGGAGAUGAUUACAUAGUGCCUACAAGUUCUUCUGCGUGGUGGAAGGAUAGAAAUCAGCAUUGGUGUAGAUGAUGGAUGGUUUGCUAAUUGUUUGAGGAUACUUUGUUCUGGACAGAUAGAUGGUUAGGAGAGGAUUGUCUAAAAAAUGAAUUCCCUCAGUUAUACCAGAUUUCUCAACAGAAAUCUUGCUCGUUUGCUGAUAUGGGGGUUUGGGGGGAGGAUGGUUAGAGGUGGAAUUGGCAAUGGAGACGUUGGGUCAUUUGUUUGGGAAGAUUUGCGUUUGACUCGUUUGGUUCAGAAGCU
Molecule: long non-coding RNA, 465 nt
Filed under: Glycine max (soybean)
Lineage: Eukaryota; Viridiplantae; Streptophyta; Magnoliopsida; Fabales; Fabaceae
Description: long non-coding RNA (GMAX_LNC004236)
Source: RNAcentral